This 66-nucleotide small RNA is filed under the name Arabidopsis thaliana (thale cress). Its description in RNAcentral is "ATSL240450". The record is from RNAcentral. Lineage: Eukaryota; Viridiplantae; Streptophyta; Magnoliopsida; Brassicales; Brassicaceae.
UAUCUUCAUCUUCUUCUUCUUCUUCUUCUUUCUCAUUCUCUUCAUUUUCUUCUUCGUCUUCUUCUC